This 107-nucleotide small nuclear RNA is filed under the name Erinaceus europaeus (western European hedgehog). The record is from RNAcentral. Lineage: Eukaryota; Metazoa; Chordata; Mammalia; Eulipotyphla; Erinaceidae.
UUGCUUCGACAGCAUCUAUUAUUUAAAAUUGGGAUUGAUACAGAGAUGACUAGCAUGUGCCCUGGGGUAGGAUGACAAUGCAAAGUCAUGAAGCAUUUCUACUAAAU